Non-coding RNA from Dendrothele bispora CBS 962.96, 102 nucleotides. The record is from the annotation of a GenBank genome assembly. NCBI's taxonomy places the organism in Eukaryota, Fungi, Basidiomycota, Agaricomycetes, Agaricales.
UCCCUGGUAGUAUAUCGGUUAGUACACGCGCCUGUCAUUGUUGAUGAUUAAGUACAGCAAUGGUGGACGCGCGAAAGCUGGGUUCGACUCCCAGCCAGGGGG